This 250-nucleotide ribosomal RNA is filed under the name Escherichia sp. E3659. RNAcentral's name for it is "partial 23S ribosomal RNA". It matches the Rfam family "Bacterial large subunit ribosomal RNA", at positions 2694 to 2925 of the family's 2925-position model. The record is from RNAcentral. Lineage: Bacteria; Pseudomonadati; Pseudomonadota; Gammaproteobacteria; Enterobacterales; Enterobacteriaceae.
CGGAUGGACGCAUCACUGGUGUUCGGGUUGUCAUGCCAAUGGCACUGCCCGGUAGCUAAAUGCGGAAGAGAUAAGUGCUGAAAGCAUCUAAGCACGAAACUUGCCCCGACGAUGAGUUCUCCCUGAGACUUUAAGUCUCCUGAAGGAACGUUGAAGACGACGACGUUGAUAGGCCGGGUGUGUAAGCGCAGCGAUGCGUUGAGCUAACCGGUACUAAUGAACCGUGAGGCUUAACCUUACAACGCCGAAG